AGACGAACCGUCCAAACGUUAUUCGGAAUUACUGGGCUUAAAGGGUGCGUAGGCGGCGCGGAAAGUUGGGUGUGAAAUACCUCGGCUCAACCGAGGAACUGCGCCCAAAACUUCCGUGCUAGAGGGAGAUAGAGGUGAGCGGAACUUAGGGUGGAGCGGUGAAAUGCGUUGAUAUCCUAAGGAACACCGGUGGCGAAGGCGGCUCACUGGAUCUCUUCUGACGCUGAGGCACGAAAGCUAGGGUAGCGAACGGGAUUAGAAACCCCAGUAGUCC
This 274-nucleotide ribosomal RNA is filed under the name uncultured bacterium. RNAcentral describes it as "partial 16S ribosomal RNA". It matches the Rfam family "Bacterial small subunit ribosomal RNA", at positions 523 to 796 of the family's 1533-position model. The record is from RNAcentral.